AGAGCAGGAUCGAGUGACUUCCGCUGCCUGAUAUUAUUUCCAGGGCGUCGCUGCGUCAUUUCCUCCUCUUCUUCAGGACUGUCUUCGGUGGAGGCAGGUCCAACGGCAUCAUGGUUCAACUCCGACCCCUCACCAAACCUAAAAUCCUCAAGAAAAGGACCAAGAAGUUCAUCAGACAUCAGUCCGACCGCUAUGUCAAGAUCAAG
This is a long non-coding RNA of Sinocyclocheilus grahami, 206 nucleotides long. RefSeq lists it as uncharacterized. Lineage: Eukaryota; Metazoa; Chordata; Actinopteri; Cypriniformes; Cyprinidae. The transcript has 2 exons. The record is from RefSeq and is a predicted model, not a curated record.